CCGUGGCCUUCUGUGACGCGCAGUCCACGCAGGAAAUCCACGAAAAGGUUCUAAACGAAGCCGUGGGUGCCAUGAUGUACCACACCAUCACCCUCACCAGGGAGGACCUGGAGAAGUUCAAGGCCCUGAGAGUGAUUGUGCGGAUAGGCAGCGGCUACGACAACGUGGACAUCAAGGCUGCCGGUGAGCUCGGAAUUGCUGUGUGCAACAUUCCAUCUGCAGCCGUGGAAGAGACGGCGGACUCUACCAUCUGCCACAUCCUCAAUCUGUACCGGAGGAACACGUGGCUGUACCAGGCACUGCGGGAAGGCACGCGGGUUCAGAGCGUGGAGCAGAUCCGCGAGGUGGCCUCGGGAGCGGCCCGCAUCCGUGGGGAGACGCUGGGCCUCAUCGGCUUUGGUACGUGCCACCCUUUGCGCCGACCCCCAAUCCCUCCGACACGGGCUGGUGUAGUGGGGACCCCUUGGGAAAGGCAACCCCAGCCUGCUCUUGAGGCCAGGGCAGGCAGGGCCAGCACCCUCCCCGUGUUGCACGGGGUAGGAGAUCCGAGUCAACACCCAUCAGGGA
RNAcentral lists this small RNA (567 nucleotides) under Pongo abelii (Sumatran orangutan). RNAcentral's name for it is "retained intron". Lineage: Eukaryota; Metazoa; Chordata; Mammalia; Primates; Hominidae. The record is from RNAcentral.